RNAcentral lists this ribosomal RNA (1343 nucleotides) under uncultured bacterium. Its description in RNAcentral is "16S ribosomal RNA". It matches the Rfam family "Bacterial small subunit ribosomal RNA", at positions 28 to 1378 of the family's 1533-position model. The record is from RNAcentral.
GACGAACGCUGGCGGCGUGCUUAACACAUGCAAGUCGAACGGAAAGGCCCUGCUUUUGUGGGGUGCUCGAGUGGCGAACGAGUGAGUAACACGUGAGUAACCUGCCCUUGACUUUGGGAUAACUUCAGGAAACUGGGGCUAAUACCGGAUAGGAGCUCCUGCUGCAUGGUGGGGGUUGGAAAGUUUCGGCGGUUGGGGAUGGACUCGCGGCUUAUCAGCUUGUUGGUGGGGUAGUGGCUUACCAAGGCUUUGACGGGUAGCCGGCCUGAGAGGGUGACCGGCCACAUUGGGACUGAGAUACGGCCCAGACUCCUACGGGAGGCAGCAGUGGGGAAUAUUGCACAAUGGGCGGAAGCCUGAUGCAGCAACGCCGCGUGCGGGAUGACGGCCUUCGGGUUGUAAACCGCUUUCGCCUGUGACGAAGCGUGAGUGACGGUAAUGGGUAAAGAAGCACCGGCUAACUACGUGCCAGCAGCCGCGGUGAUACGUAGGGUGCGAGCGUUGUCCGGAUUUAUUGGGCGUAAAGGGCUCGUAGGUGGUUGAUCGCGUCGGAAGUGUAAUCUUGGGGCUUAACCCUGAGCGUGCUUUCGAUACGGGUUGACUUGAGGAAGGUAGGGGAGAAUGGAAUUCCUGGUGGAGCGGUGGAAUGCGCAGAUAUCAGGAGGAACACCAGUGGCGAAGGCGGUUCUCUGGGCCUUUCCUGACGCUGAGGAGCGAAAGCGUGGGGAGCGAACAGGCUUAGAUACCCUGGUAGUCCACGCCGUAAACGGUGGGUACUAGGUGUGGGGUCCAUUCCACGGGUUCCGUGCCGUAGCUAACGCUUUAAGUACCCCGCCUGGGGAGUACGGCCGCAAGGCUAAAACUCAAAGGAAUUGACGGGGCCCCGCACAAGCGGCGGAGCAUGCGGAUUAAUUCGAUGCAACGCGUAGAACCUUACCUGGGUUUGACAUGGAUCGGGAGUGCUCAGAGAUGGGUGUGCCUCUUUUGGGGUCGGUUCACAGGUGGUGCAUGGCUGUCGCCAGCUCGUGUCGUGAGAUGUUGGGUUAAGUCCCGCAACGAGCGCAACCCUUGUUCACUGUUGCCAGCACGUUAUGGUGGGGACUCAGUGGAGACCGCCGGGGUCAACUCGGAGGAAGGUGGGGAUGACGUCAAGUCAUCAUGCCCCUUAUGUCCAGGGCUUCACGCAUGCUACAAUGGCUGGUACAGAGAGUGGCGAGCCUGUGAGGGUGAGCGAAUCUCGGAAAGCCGGUCUCAGUUCGGAUUGGGGUCUGCAACUCGACCUCAUGAAGUCGGAGUCGCUAGUAAUCGCAGAUCAGCAACGCUGCGGUGAAUACGUUCCCGGG